RNAcentral lists this ribosomal RNA (371 nucleotides) under uncultured organism. RNAcentral's name for it is "partial 16S ribosomal RNA". It matches the Rfam family "Bacterial small subunit ribosomal RNA", at positions 527 to 896 of the family's 1533-position model. The record is from RNAcentral.
GUAGGUGGCAAGCGUUGUCCGGAAUUAUUGGGCGUAAAGCGCGCGCAGGCGGUUCUUUAAGUCUGAUGUGAAAGCCCACGGCUCAACCGUGGAGGGUCAUUGGAAACUGGAGAACUUGAGUACAGAAGAGGAAAGCGGAAUUCCACGUGUAGCGGUGAAAUGCGUAGAGAUGUGGAGGAACACCAGUGGCGAAGGCGGCUUUCUGGUCUGUAACUGACGCUGAGGCGCGAAAGCGUGGGGGAGCAAACAGGAUUAGAUACCCUGGUAGUCCACGCCGUAAACGAUGAGUGCUAAGUGUUAGGGGGUUUCCGCCCCUUAGUGCUGCAGCUAACGCAUAAAGCACUCCGCCUGGGAGUACGGCCGCAAGGCUG